AAUCAACGCUGGCGGCGUGCCUCAGACAUGCAAGUCGAACGAUUAAAGCUCUCUUCGGAGAGUGCAUAAAGUGGCGCACGGGUGAGUAACACGUAAGUAAUCUACCUUCGAGUGGGGAAUAACGUCCGGAAACGGACGCUAAUACCGCAUAACGCAGCGGCAUCGCAAGAUGACAGUUGUUAAAGAUUUAUCGCUUGAAGAGGAGCUUGCGGCAGAUUAGCNGUUGGUAAGGUAACGGCUUACCAAGGCUACGAUCUGUAUCCGGUCUAAGAGGACGGUCGGACACACUGACACUGAAUAACGGGUCAGACUCCUACGGGAGGCAGCAGUCGGGAAUUUUGGGCAAUGGGGGAAACCCGUGACCCAGCAACGCCGCGUGAAGGAUGAAGUAUUUCGGUAUGUAAACUUCGAAAGAAUAGGAAGAAUUAAUGACGGUACU
This 439-nucleotide ribosomal RNA is filed under the name uncultured bacterium. Its description in RNAcentral is "bacterial SSU rRNA". It matches the Rfam family "Bacterial small subunit ribosomal RNA", at positions 32 to 479 of the family's 1533-position model. The record is from RNAcentral.